RNAcentral lists this unclassified non-coding RNA (232 nucleotides) under uncultured fungus. RNAcentral describes it as "sequence contains ITS1". Lineage: Eukaryota; Fungi. The record is from RNAcentral.
GUAUUGUAUUGCGUUAAACGCGACAUACAUUCCAUAGGACUUUAUUACAGUGUGUGUGUAAAUAUGCAGAACCACGGCAAGAGGACAGAGUCCCCCACGCCAUAGAACUACAGAGGGUGCACAGGUGUGAGUGGAUGUGUAAACAGAGCGUGCACGUGCCCCCCUUCGAGGGCCAGCAACAACUCGUGUCGACAAUUCGGUAAUGAUCCUUCCGCAGGUUCACCUACGGAAA